This 28-nucleotide small RNA is filed under the name Bombyx mori (domestic silkworm). RNAcentral's name for it is "ovarian small RNA-9062". The record is from RNAcentral. Lineage: Eukaryota; Metazoa; Arthropoda; Insecta; Lepidoptera; Bombycidae.
UGUCUCUGUAAAGUGUGCCCGCUAAAGA